AGCAUGUGCGCGAGUCAUUGGGACAAACCUAAAGGCGAAAUGAAAGUAAAGGUCAGCCUUGGACCGAGGGAGGAUGGGCCGGCUCGCCGGCCCCGCACUCCCGGGGCGUCUCGUUCUCAUUGCGAGAAGAGGCGCACCCAGAGCGUACACGCUGGGACCCGAAAGAUGGUGAACUAUGCCUGGUCAGGACGAAGUCAGGGGAAACCCUGAUGGAGGUCCGUAGCGAUUCUGACGUGCAAAUCGAUCGUCGGAACUGGGUAUAGGGGCGAAAGACUAAUCGAACCAUCUAGUAGCUGGUUCCCUCCGAAGUUUCCCUCAGGAUAGCUGGCGCUCGCCGCGUGCGAGUCUCAUCCGGUAAAGCGAAUGAUUAGAGGCAUUGGGGUCGAAACGGCCUCAACCUAUUCUCAAACUUUAAAUGGGUGAGAUCUCCGGCUUGCUUGAACGUGAAGCCGCGAGAUUUCGGAUCAGAGUGCCAAGUGGGCCAUUUUUG
Molecule: ribosomal RNA, 490 nt
Filed under: Glaresis beckeri
Lineage: Eukaryota; Metazoa; Arthropoda; Insecta; Coleoptera; Glaresidae
Description: eukaryotic LSU rRNA
Rfam family: Eukaryotic large subunit ribosomal RNA
Source: RNAcentral